AUGCGUGAGUAUAAGUCAGUCGUUCUUGUCUCAGGAGGCAUUGGGAAGCCUGCUCUGACUGUACAAUUUGUUCAAGGAAUUUUUGUUGAAAAAUAUGAUCCUAUGAUAGAAGAUUCUUACAGAAAGCAAGUUGAAGUAGAUGCACAGCAGUGUAUGCUUGAAAUUUUGGAUACUGCAGGAUUGGAACAAUUUACAGCAAUGAGAGAUUUAUACAUCAAAAAAUGGACAAGGCUUUUCUUUAGUUUAUUCCAUCACCACACAGUCCACAUUUAAUGAUUUACAAGAUCUGAGAGAACAGAUUCUUCGAGUUAAAGACACUGAUGAUGUUCCAAUGAUUCUGGUUGGUAAUAAAUGUGACUUGGAUGAUGAAAGAGUUGUAGGAAAGGAACAAGGUCAAAAUCUAGCAAGACAGUGGAACAACUGUACAUUCUUAGAAUCUUCUGCAAAAUCAAAAAUAAAUGUUAAUGAGAUCUUUUAUGACCUAGUGCGACAAAUUAACAGAAAAACUCCAGUGCCUGGGAAGGCCCACAAAAAGUCAUCGUGACAAUUGCUUUAAUAUACUAAAU
Molecule: RNA transcript, 566 nt
Organism: Octodon degus (degu)
Lineage: Eukaryota; Metazoa; Chordata; Mammalia; Rodentia; Octodontidae
Gene name: ras-related protein Rap-1b pseudogene
Exons: 1
Source: RefSeq, a predicted model, not a curated record